This 300-nucleotide ribosomal RNA is filed under the name uncultured Pyrobaculum sp. RNAcentral describes it as "bacterial SSU rRNA". The stretch from base 55 to 300 matches the Rfam family "Bacterial small subunit ribosomal RNA", at positions 550 to 795 of the family's 1533-position model. Lineage: Archaea; Thermoproteati; Thermoproteota; Thermoprotei; Thermoproteales; Thermoproteaceae. The record is from RNAcentral.
UGUAACGGGUGGGGGGCGGCCGGGGUAAGACAGAGGGGGGAAGCGUUGUUCGGGAUUACAGGGCGGAAAGGGGGCGUAGGCGGCCCCCUAAGGCAGACGGGAAGGCCCCGGGCUCAACCCGGGAACUGCGUCUGAUACUGGAGGGCUUGAGUCCGGGAGAGGGAUGUGGAAUGCCAGGUGUAGCGGUGAAAUGCGUAGAUAUCUGGAGGAACACUGGUGGCGAAGGCGGCAUCCUGGACCGGCAUUGACGCUGAGGCGCGAAAGCCAGGGGAGCAAACGGGAUUAGAUACCCGAGUAGUC